UCAGGACGAACGCUGGCGGCGUGCCUAACACAUGCAAGUCGAGCGAGGAGAUCCUCGGGAUGAUCCUAGCGGCGGACGGGUGAGUAACACGUGGGCAACCUGCCUCAUAGAGAGGAAUAGCCUUCCGAAAGGGAGAUUAAUACCUCAUAACAUUGCAGUUUCGCAUGGAACAGCAAUUAAAGGAGUAAUCCGCUAUGAGAUGGGCCCGCGGCGCAUUAGCUAGUUGGUGAGGUAACGGCUCACCAAGGCGACGAUGCGUAGCCGACCUGAGAGGGUGAUCGGCCACAUUGGGACUGAGACACGGCCCAGACUCCUACGGGAGGCAGCAGUGGGGAAUAUUGCACAAUGGGGGAAACCCUGAUGCAGCCAACGCCGCGUGAGUGAUGACGGCCUUCGGGUUGUAAAGCUCUGUCUUCAGGGACGAUAAUGACGGUACCUGAGGAGGAAGCCACGGCUAACUACGUGCCAGCAGCUGC
Molecule: ribosomal RNA, 476 nt
Filed under: uncultured bacterium
Lineage: Bacteria
Description: bacterial SSU rRNA
Rfam family: Bacterial small subunit ribosomal RNA
Source: RNAcentral